Molecule: ribosomal RNA, 511 nt
Filed under: uncultured bacterium
Lineage: Bacteria
Description: partial 16S ribosomal RNA
Rfam family: Bacterial small subunit ribosomal RNA
Source: RNAcentral
GAUGAACGCUGGCGGCGUGCCUAAUACAUGCAAGUCGAACGAAACUUCUUUAUCACCGAGUGCUUGCACUCACCGAUAAAGAGUUGAGUGGCGAACGGGUGAGUAACACGUGGGCAGCCUGCCCAAAAGAGGGGGAUAACACUUGGAAACAGGUGCUAAUACCGCAUAACCAUAGUUACCGCAUGGUAACUAUGUAAAAGGUGGCUAUACUACCGCUUUUGGAUGGGCCCGCGGCGCAUUAGCUAGUUGGUAGGGUAAAGGCUUACCAAGGCAAUGAUGCGUAGCCGAAUUGAGAGGUUGAUCGGCCACAUUGGGACUGAGACACGGCCCAAACUCCUACGGGAGGCAGCAGUAGGGAAUCUUCCACAAUGGGCGAAAGCCUGAUGGAGCAACGCCGCGUGGGUGAAGAAGGUCUUCGGAUCGUAAAACCCUGUUGUUAGAGAAGAAAGUGCGUGAGAGUAACUGUUCACGUUUCGACGGCAUCUAACCAGAAAGCCACGGCUAACUACGU